Molecule: long non-coding RNA, 274 nt
Filed under: Nicotiana benthamiana
Lineage: Eukaryota; Viridiplantae; Streptophyta; Magnoliopsida; Solanales; Solanaceae
Description: long non-coding RNA (NBEN_LNC010582)
Source: RNAcentral
AACUAAUGAAGUUUCUGAACGUUUUUAGGAGGUUGUCUACUAAAAGUGGGAGUUUGUACGGGUGGGUGUUCCGGUUAUUAGUAGCAGGACUAGUAGGUGUAUCAUCUAAAUCUACCGGAGCUUAGGUUUCGUCAUCAUCAUCAACCUCAUUUCCCUCUAAGGUAGGUGCAUUAGGAUAAAGAAUAUUCAUAAUAUCAUCGUCUAUUCUAUCACCAACAGCUACAUUAUGUAGAAAAUCAACAUCGCUAAAUUGAAAACAUGGGUGAUCACUAUC